Molecule: unclassified non-coding RNA, 1316 nt
Filed under: Hevea brasiliensis (rubber tree)
Lineage: Eukaryota; Viridiplantae; Streptophyta; Magnoliopsida; Malpighiales; Euphorbiaceae
Source: RNAcentral
GGCGAAAACUCGUAUCCGGUGGCUCUGGGCUUUCGCUGUGCGGUUACCUCCUCGUUUUUACUUCUCCUCCUCCUCUUCCUUCUUCUUCUUUUGUCGUCUGAUGCAGGGCGAGUAGAUAGUCUACAUUUUUAAUCUAAAUUUUUUUUUUUUAAAGUCAUGCAUGUCCGGUUUUCAGAAAUUUCGGAAACAGCCCAGAAACAUCUCGCUGCUGUGUCAUCCCAUUUCUGUAUCGGAUAGCGUUUCCGACACGGGGAAACUCCAGCCAGUGGCAUUUCUGUGCAUUGUCUUAAGCUUAUGCAUACACAAAAUUUUUGCCAAAAAUAUGAUCGAAAGAGAUAAACACGAAACAUCCCAGCACAACAUUUUGUGGAAGUUGGAAUCCAUACUUAGAUUGGUAAACUAUUAAGAUAGUAAACUACUUUCCCAAGCCAGUAAACUACUUUCCCAAGCCCAAGCAAAUAGAGGGUAACUCUGAGCUAAGUUGAUAAAAAAUCUUUUGAUUCUCCAAUAGGACUCAUGUUCUAACAAAUAUAUGCCAAUGCUUAAUAAAAUAAAAGAAUGGUUCUCUGGUUGUUAAAAUCAGCUUCCUGAGUAAAUCUUAGUACAUGAAAUUUGGGCCGUCCUGUACAUUGUAGUUGUCACAAAUACCUGCAGCCCAUCAUCUAAAAUGAAAAAUGUCAGCCUGCUAGUUAUCAGGCAUAUCUCUAGCAUAUGUAAUUGUCUACUAGAUGCAAUUUAGAAAUUAUUUUAACAAACAGUAAGUUACAGGCAACUAAAUGUCUCAAUUUAUUCCCUUUAAGUUACAUAUUCUGGAUAGUAUUGAACCUACCAGUGCGCGCUGGAAAUCAAAACUAAGAUCAGUUGCAAUACAUGAAAAAUGCUUGUAUGUGCAGUGUGAAGAAGAAUAUGAUAUAGAGAAUACCAUAUCUGUUUACCAUAAUCCUUCAUUGCUGUGUUAAAGAAAUUGGAUUACUAGGUAAACAAAAAGAAAAAGAUAAUAAUAAUUUUGCGGCUCUUGUAUCAGUCAAUUUCACAUCUAUCGCUAAUACAGGAUAAAAAAUUAACCUACAAGCUCAAACUCCAUGCUCUGCUAACCUAGACCUCUAACUAAACAAUUAACGUUCAGGAAUAGAAAUACAAAUUCUAAACAAAAAUAUUGAAAAGCCAAACAGGACUCCAAUAAAAAAGCAUCCUAAUCCGACAAACAAUCAGAUCCAUAACAAUGAGAUGAGCAUCAAUCGUCGAACACAAAUUUAAACCCAUUAAGGAAAAGUAAAGAAAUCAAAAGAAUUAAAAGCCAAUUUCGAAAAUUGUUG